AGGGGGCGCGCACGGGGGUUGGCGCGGAAGACAGGACCCUCAGCCUCGAGGGAGUCCCUCGGUGACCAGGCAAAAAACAGUUCCCUCCAGCUGGUCCUCAGAUGGGCACAUCUAUUAGCCUCUGCUCUUGUAAGAAGUUAGCUGCAGAACCCACAUGUGAAUCCUUGUAGGACUGUGGAGAAGAUCAAAUGGGAGCUUGGAUGUGGAAGCUCUUUGGAAACCAAGAAACACUCUGCAAAUGAAAAGGGUCAGGAAAGCCUGAACUUUCUCAUCCAACACCUGUUCAAGUCGGAGGAUGCUGAUUAAUUCAUGAUGGAAAGGUAUCAAUUUUCACAGACCAGACCUCUACAUUCUUGAAAUGCUCUUCUCAUGGGAGACAUUAAAUAAGCUUUGAAUUAACUGAAGAACCAAUGGUGUGAUCCCUGGAUACUGACAAUUGUUGCCCAAGAAACCCCCUCCCCUUGCCAUGGGACUGCACCCAAAUAAUUUGAUAGCUCUUGUUACACAGCUCUUCUUGGACUAAAAGGCCCUCAGCAUUCCUGGCAAUUUCUACACUCCUGGAGCUUCAUCUGGUGAUAAAGACCUCAAGUAUGAGUUUCAUCUCAUCUUUGAAUUCUUCAGAUCACCUGCUCAUAUUAGGUUUUGCCUCCUUUGGUUCAACCUAGAUUCCAUAAACUUCUCAGGCAAUUGGCCCUUGCCUUGGACUUGGCCUAGAAGCAUGGACAAUGCCCCUCCCUUGGAGACACACCGAGGUCUAGGAUCCCUGAAAAUGGAAAGGAAUUAUCCCAGUUUAUUCCCACACCCUAAUACUGCAGAGGAGUCCCCGAAAUACGAAACAUUUCAGCCUCUCCUCAUUUCUUCCAAGGGUAGAUUGAAAGAUACCAGCUUCAGCAGGCCCUUGUAUUGAAGACAGCAUAACCCCCAAGAGGAAAGGAGCUUGGAGCCCUGAAUCAGAGUAGAAGACCAGCUGAACACCAACCUUGGACAGUGUGUGAAUGAAAAACAAAUUUUGAGAUUUGUGUGGUUUAUGUAUUAGUUACUGUUAUUAUUAAAG
Long non-coding RNA from Rhinopithecus roxellana (golden snub-nosed monkey), 1054 nucleotides. RefSeq lists it as uncharacterized. Lineage: Eukaryota; Metazoa; Chordata; Mammalia; Primates; Cercopithecidae. The transcript has 10 exons. The record is from RefSeq and is a predicted model, not a curated record.